This 407-nucleotide ribosomal RNA is filed under the name uncultured bacterium. RNAcentral describes it as "partial 16S ribosomal RNA". It matches the Rfam family "Bacterial small subunit ribosomal RNA", at positions 30 to 526 of the family's 1533-position model. The record is from RNAcentral.
AUUGAACGCUGGCGGCAGGCCUUACACAUGCAAGUCGAGCGGAGCGGCGGACGGGUGAGUAAUGCCUAGGAAUCUGCCUGGUAGUGGGGGAUAACGUCCGGAAACGGGCGCUAAUACCGCAUACUAUCAGAUGAGCCUAGGUCGGAUUAGCUAGUUGGUGGGGUAAAGGCCUACCAAGGCGACGAUCCGUAACUGGGCGGAUAGGAUGAUCCGUCACACUGGAACUGAGACACGGUCCAGACGCCUACGGGAGGCAGCAGUGGGGAAUCUUGGACAAUGGGCGAAACCCUGAUCCAGCCAUGCCGCGUGUGUGAUGAAGGUCUUCGGAUUGUAAAGCACGUUAAGUAUGGAGGCGUUACCAACAGAAUAAGUACCGGCUAACUUCGUGCCAGCCGCCGCGGUAAUAC